Molecule: non-coding RNA, 578 nt
Organism: Paramuricea clavata
Lineage: Eukaryota; Metazoa; Cnidaria; Anthozoa; Malacalcyonacea; Plexauridae
Source: the annotation of a GenBank genome assembly
CCCCCACCUGCCAACGGCAUUUUAGACCCUGAAUUCAGUCAGAUUUAAAAAUAUCCUUUUGUAUUUCAUGCGUUGAAAAGUUUCCUGUGUAUUUACAAAAAAAGACAAUUUGAUCGAACUGAAAUUCAACGCACUUUAUACAAUUAACAUUAUUUUUAUUUACAGGGGAAAAAUAGCUAAACAUGAUAGCGUCCAUAUAAGGCUUCUGCCGUCUUCCACGAAUUUCAACGAUCUUUUAGUAUGUAACAGUUCGCUGCAAAUUUUGAAAUUUUCUGAACCCUAUGAUUUUCUGGCCUUGCGAUCGCUUUUUGGAGCCCCUUGCCCAAAGAAGGAAUAAAAAAUUUUGUGUUUGCAGGCCUGCUUUUGGAGCCUCGCCUUUUUAAUUUUAACUUUGGGGCCUCGCGGUUUUUUUAGUUUGGUGUUUCGCUUUUCGGGGCCUUGGACUCUUUAGGGCCCCGCGCUAAAAAAGAGAACAAAAAAUUCGUUUGGAGCCCCUCACUUUGGGUCCUCUAUUUUUAAAUUUUGGCCUAUAACGUUUGGGCCUAUAACGUUUUCUGGGAACCUUGGGCUCUUUGGGG